Molecule: long non-coding RNA, 397 nt
Organism: Anopheles coluzzii
Lineage: Eukaryota; Metazoa; Arthropoda; Insecta; Diptera; Culicidae
Exons: 2
Source: RefSeq, a predicted model, not a curated record
UUUAUUCUAAUUCUAAUAUUAUUCUAAUAUGCAAUGUUUUGCACAUUACAAGUUUCAGAUGUGUGCUGCUACCGCUAGCUGUUCCUCAAAUUACUUAAAAAGUGUGACACUGUGUGCACAGGCGUUCAAGUUUCAAUUGAUCCUCAAGCACAAAGGCGCGCCAAAUCUGAUGACAUCUUUCCUGAACCAAGCAGGCUGAACACGCGCACCACCACGGGCUCCAGCGCGGUGUGAAGAGGGAAGAAGAAAAGACAGAAUUGGAAACAGCCGCACCAGGCUUCCAACCACCGUGUGUGUGUGAAUGUAAGUAUGUGAGAACACAUGUGUGAAUCCUCUUGUGGGAACUGCAAAAAGAAGAGAAUAAAGAGUGUGAAGCAGCUAGACUGCCGCAACCAAA